GUGGUGAGACCUCCUCUCUGCUAAAAAUACAAAAAAGUAGCCAGGUGUGGUGUCACACACCUGUGGUCCCAGCUACUUGGGAGGGUGAUGUGGGAGGAUUACUUGAGCCUGGGAGGCAGAGGCUGCAGUGAGCCAAGAUCGUGCCACUGCACUCCAGCCUGGGUGACAGAGUGAGACUUCAUCUCAACAAACAAACAAAUAAAUGUGUUAAGGAAUGCAAGUUGUAAAUGUAGCCAGAAGAUCCUAAUUCUUCUAGGGCAUCAUGACAAAUUACAGAAAUUUAACUUCAUGUAGAACAUCAAACUCCCUAGCUAAAUUGUCAAAUUAGAGUGGGCAUUCUUUUUUCCAUCUUUAAUAGACGUUCCCAGCCAAGUAGCUUUUUUAAGCUCAAAAUCUUCAAAGCAGCAUGUAUUUCUUUGAGUUACUGUGAAGAGAAAAAUGCCCCAUACAAUUUAUUCAAGGUCCAUUAAGAAACCCUAUUAAACUCUUUCCCUCCAAACAUAUGUAGUCUUAGAGAGUAUGGCUGUGUGUGUUUGUAUGUCUAUGUAAGAUAUACAUGUCUUUGAGACAUAUCAUUUCCAUCCUGAAAUGCUCCAGUUGGAUAUUUCAUGUUGCACAGGAUGAAGGGCGUUUAGAGGGAUGGGGGAGGCAGAAUCAUUCUGAAGGCUGCAGGGACUGAAGAUUUCAGAACGUCUGACGGAGUAAGCCUGGCUCUGACUAUAGAGCCUCUUCCUCUUCAGAUCCCAGGGGGCUCUUUCUCUGCAACUGUAGGCAUCUUAAUCUCUUUGAGCCUCAGAGUCUUUGUUGUAAAGGUAGAAUCAUUUGACUUUCUUAUUUGCUGAUUACAUCAAGGGGAAGUUCUCUCUUGGCUCAGCCCCAGCGUGUCUUUAAUUCUUCCCCAGCAUCUACUCCCCUUUUCUCCUCAUUCUACCCUGGUAACAGCAUCUCAGUUUCUUUUUGGAGAACUGCUUUCCUCCAGCCCGCAUCCUUUUGUUUCAGAUGGGGCUAAUCCCACCGCCAUUCCAGGGGAGGGCAGAUGAUCUGGGUUGGGCCAAUCAGCAUAAUCCAUUUCCCUGGCUGCAGUGAUUGGUUCAUUAUCAUCACCUGACCUUUGCCUGCUAAUGAGAUUUCAGUCUCAGAACUUUCGCAAGUACGACCGAGGAAGUUGCUGAGUCAUCUCUUUCCCUGUAAGUUGCUGGGGUUAGUGAGCUUCUGUCAGCCAUCUAGUUACCACUAGG
RNAcentral lists this long non-coding RNA (1238 nucleotides) under Homo sapiens (human). RNAcentral's name for it is "HSALNT0233783". Lineage: Eukaryota; Metazoa; Chordata; Mammalia; Primates; Hominidae. The record is from RNAcentral.